Molecule: long non-coding RNA, 706 nt
Organism: Alligator mississippiensis (American alligator)
Lineage: Eukaryota; Metazoa; Chordata; Crocodylia; Alligatoridae
Exons: 2
Source: RefSeq, a predicted model, not a curated record
UUGGACUCUCCCCAAGCAGUUUCUGCUCUUCUAGGAGCAGGCACCUAAGUGCCCUGUGACACAGCACUACAUGUCCCUACCCCCUGCUACCAAGGAGGACAUCACCAGCAUCAACACCUUCCUCAUCAUGUAAGAGGCCCAUGCUGCCCAGCUGAGGGGACACAGGCUACUCAAUAAAGUUUUGAACUGUAUUCCACCUCUGCUUGCUGGGGGUGUUGAGGACCUGAGCCAGGUGGUGACUGCCCAUCUCCAAUGACUUGAGGAGCAGCUUGAGAUGUUUGUUACAGACAUUCAGGGUAUAUCAAGACUGGACUGGAUGCAUAGCUCAUUUCUGCAUCAGCCUGAUGCAAUGAAUCUGCCAUCAAAGGAAACUGAGCAGCUCACUGAACUUUCCUGUGAUUGGAGUCUUUGAUCUUUAUUUUCUCAACAAGUCAUAGUUGACUUCUGGUUCAGUGUGAAAACAGACUAUCCUGCUCUGUCAACACAUGCCCUCAACGUACUUGUGCCCUUCACCACAACUUACUUGUGUGAAGUAGGAUUCAGCACCCUAGCUUCCAUCAAGAUGAGCUAUCGCUCUACAUUGGACAUUACUUCAGAACUGUGGUGUGCCAUCUCUACCACAAAACCAAACUUAGAUAAGUUGUGUUAGAACAUUCAGGCCCAGCUGUCACACUAGUUCAGGUAAUAAUAAAGCUUUUAAAUGUGA